UCAGCUAUCAUUUGACUCAAAGACAUCAAAUUACUGAGACUCUAACCUGAAUACUUGUACCAUUACUAUUUGCUGCCAUAAGAGGCAGUGACGGUUUCUUAUUGAUUAAUGGUAACAAGUUACAACACAUCACCCUAAUGAUUAUGACAUCUACCAACGUGACCACCGCCAUAUCCUCAGUUGCUGUCGCCAUUAGCAGCGCUGCCACUGCUACAGAAAGAUUGAACUUGGUUCGCAGAAAUAAUAUUGUUUUCUUCAAGAUUGAGAUUAUUCAUUCCUUCCAAAACUUCACCCAUAGUCUGCAGAUAAUUGUUCUCUGCUUCAGCCGCAACCAGAAAAUCGUCGACCAUUUUUUCCAUGCCUCUAUUCGCUGAAAACAUUAGCUUGUUC
Molecule: long non-coding RNA, 390 nt
Filed under: Durio zibethinus
Lineage: Eukaryota; Viridiplantae; Streptophyta; Magnoliopsida; Malvales; Malvaceae
Description: long non-coding RNA (DZIB_LNC002287)
Source: RNAcentral